Molecule: ribosomal RNA, 271 nt
Filed under: uncultured prokaryote
Description: partial 16S ribosomal RNA
Rfam family: Bacterial small subunit ribosomal RNA
Source: RNAcentral
UACGGAGGAUCCGAGCGUUAUCCGGAUUUAUUGGGUUUAAAGGGUGCGCAGGCGGAAGAUUAAGUCGGCGGUGAAAUUUUGCAGCUCAACUGUAAAAGUGCCUUCGAAACUGGUUUCCUUGAGUGUAGAUGAAGUAGGCGGAAUUUGUGGUGUAGCGGUGAAAUGCAUAGAUAUCACGAGGAACUCCGAUUGCGCAGGCAGCUUACUAAACUACUACUGACACUGAGGCACGAAAGCGUGGGGAGCAAACAGGAUUAGAUACCCCCGUAGU